GAUGAACGCUGGCGGCGUGCCUAAUACAUGCAAGUCGAGCGAACAGACGAGAGUGCUUGCACUCUCUGACGUUAGCGGCGGACGGGUGAGUAACACGUGGGUAACCUACCUAUAAGACUGGGAUAACUUCGGGAAACCGGAGCUAAUACCGGAUAAUAUUUAGCUUCGCAUGAAGCAAUAGUGAAAGACGGUUCUGCUGUCACUUAUAGAUGGACCCGCGGUGUAUUAGCUAGUUGGUGAGGUAACGGCUCACCAAGGCAACGAUACAUAGCCGACCUGAGAGGGUGAUCGGCCACACUGGGACUGAGACACGGACCAGACUCCUACGGGAGGCAGCAGUAGGGAAUCUUCCGCAAUGGACGAAAGUCUGACGGAGCAAUGCCGCGUGAGUGAAGAAGGUUUUCGGAUCGUAAAACUCUGUUGUAAGGGAAGAACAAGUACGUUAGUAACUGAACGUACCUUGACGGUACCUUACCAGAAAGCCACGGCUAACUACGU
This 498-nucleotide ribosomal RNA is filed under the name uncultured bacterium. RNAcentral's name for it is "partial 16S ribosomal RNA". It matches the Rfam family "Bacterial small subunit ribosomal RNA", at positions 28 to 506 of the family's 1533-position model. The record is from RNAcentral.